This 449-nucleotide ribosomal RNA is filed under the name uncultured bacterium. Its description in RNAcentral is "bacterial SSU rRNA". It matches the Rfam family "Bacterial small subunit ribosomal RNA", at positions 328 to 793 of the family's 1533-position model. The record is from RNAcentral.
UUACCAGACUCCUACGGGAGGCAGCAGUGGGGGAUAUCGCACAAUGGGGGGAACCCUGAUGCAGCGACGCCGCGUGGGUGAAGGAGUGCUUCGGCAUGUAAAGCCCUAUCGGCAGGGAAGAAGCAAGACGGUACCUGACUAAGAAGCCCCGGCUAACUACGUGCCAGCAGCCGCGGUAAUACGUAGGGGGCGAGCGUUAUCCGGGUUCACUGGGUGUAAAGGGAGCGUAGACGGCCAUGCAAGCCAGGGGGGAAAGGCCGGGGCCCAACCCCGGGACUGCUCUUGGAACUGCGUGGCUGGAGUGCAGGAGGGGCAGGCGGAAUUCCUGGUGUAGCGGUGAAAUGCGUAGAUAUCAGGAGGAACACCGGUGGCGAAGGCGGCCUGCUGGACUGCAACUGACGUUGAGGCCCGAAAGCGUGGGGAGCAAACAGGAUUAGAUACCCGAGUAA